GAAACUGCGAAUGGCUCAUUAAAUCAGUUAUAGUUUAUUUGAUGGUUCCUUACUACUUGGAUAACCGUAGUAAUUCUAGAGCUAAUACAUGCAGAAAGUCCCGACUUCUUGGAAGGGAUGUAUUUAUUAGAUCCAAAACCAGCGCGAGUUCCUUCGGGGGCUCGGUUGCAUGGUGAUUCAUGAUAACUGCUCGAAUCGCAUGGCCUUGCGCCGGCGAUGAUCCAUUCAAAUUUCUGCCCUAUCAACUUUCGAUGGCAAGGUAGUGGCUUGCCAUGGUGACAACGGGUGACGGAGAAUUAGGGUUCGAUUCCGGAGAGGGAGCCUGAGAAACGGCUACCACAUCCAAGGAAGGCAGCAGGCGCGCAAAUUACCCAAUCCCGACUCGGGGAGGUAGUGACAAUAAAUAACAAUGCUGGGCUAUCGUAGUCUGGCAAUUGGAAUGAGUACAAUCUAAACCCCUUAACGAGGAACAAUUGGAGGGCAAGUCUGGUGCCAGCAGCCGCGGUAAUUCCAGCUCCAAUAGCGUAUAUUAAAGUUGUUGCAGUUAAAAAGCUCGUAGUUGGAUUUCGGGGCAGCCCGGCUGGUCCGUCGCGAGGCGAGUACUGGUCGGCCGCCCUUCCUCUCGAAAGCCCCGACUGCUCUUCACUGCAGUGGUCGGGGAGUUCGGGACGUUUACUUUGAAAAAAUUAGAGUGUUCAAGGCAGGCCAUCGCCUGAAUACAUUAGCAUGGAAUAAUGGAAGAGGACCUCGGUCCUAUUUUGUUGGUUUCUAGGGCCGAAGUAAUGAUUAAGAGGG
RNAcentral lists this ribosomal RNA (795 nucleotides) under Agelas sp. ARY-006. RNAcentral describes it as "SSU rRNA". It matches the Rfam family "Eukaryotic small subunit ribosomal RNA", at positions 83 to 877 of the family's 1831-position model. The record is from RNAcentral. Lineage: Eukaryota; Metazoa; Porifera; Demospongiae; Agelasida; Agelasidae.